AGAAGCUUAGGUUAAUAGACCUAAACCAGAGGCCUUCAAAGCCCCAAAUAUGAGUUAAACCCUCCUAGCUUCUG
This 74-nucleotide transfer RNA is filed under the name Eurylepis taeniolata (Alpine Punjab skink). Its description in RNAcentral is "tRNA-Trp". It matches the Rfam family "tRNA". From Rfam's summary of the family: Transfer RNA (tRNA) molecules are approximately 80 nucleotides in length. Their secondary structure includes four short double-helical elements and three loops (D, anti-codon, and T loops). The record is from RNAcentral. Lineage: Eukaryota; Metazoa; Chordata; Lepidosauria; Squamata; Scincidae.